GUCGGUAGAGCGUCUCCAUGGUAAGGAGAAGGUCUACGGUUCGAUUCCGUAUUGGGGCU
This is a transfer RNA of Streptomyces sp. MnatMP-M17, 59 nucleotides long. It matches the Rfam family "tRNA", at positions 15 to 71 of the family's 71-position model. From Rfam's summary of the family: Transfer RNA (tRNA) molecules are approximately 80 nucleotides in length. The record is from Rfam. NCBI's taxonomy places the organism in Bacteria, Bacillati, Actinomycetota, Actinomycetes, Kitasatosporales, Streptomycetaceae.